Molecule: non-coding RNA, 752 nt
Organism: Zootoca vivipara (common lizard)
Lineage: Eukaryota; Metazoa; Chordata; Lepidosauria; Squamata; Lacertidae
Source: RefSeq, a predicted model, not a curated record
GUGAGUUCUACCUCCCUGUGUUUGACGACCAUCACUACACGAAGCAACCCACAUUCUCCUCUUUGCUACUUUGCAAGGCCAAGGCAGUUAAAAGGAAAAAAAUGAAAGGAAAUUGGCCUCGGUCCAGUAUACCUGAAGGAGCGUCUCCACCCCCAUCGUUCUGCCCGGGCACUGAGGUCCAGUACCGAGGGCCUUCUGGCGGUUCCCUCAUUGCGAGAAGACAAGUUGCAGGGAACCAGGCACCCGCCCUGUGGAACGCCCUCCCAUCAGAUGUCAAAAAGGAAAACAGCUACCAAAUUUUUAGAAGACAUCUGAAGGCAGCCAUGUUUAGCGAUGUGUCUCCACUAUUUGUUGGUGGUGCCUAAGUGGCCAGAAUAGUGAACAAAGGAGGAAGAAGAAGAGAAAGGAGAGGAAGCAGAAUAUAAUGAUGGAGGAGGAGAACAUCUCAUAACAUGGAGAGAAUAUAUAUUUCCACAAUCUUUUCAUUUUCUCAGUAUUCCACUUCAGAGCAAACUGGUAGCCAGAUAGCUGAGCUUCUUCAUGAAUCAUUUCUCACAUCUCCCUCUCUCUCUCUUUCUCCCCCAACCCCCCAAUUUUUAUUUGCUGAAAGUCUUUGUUACACAGUUAUCUAUCAAGUUCUUUCUAUCUGCCAAACCAGCAAACGGAGACGAGCCGUAUCAAAUGUCCAUGAAUUACAAACACGUUGUGUGUCCAUACAUCAUUGCGCUGAUGUAUUGAUACUUACGGUGCUG